This 400-nucleotide long non-coding RNA is filed under the name Mytilus galloprovincialis (Mediterranean mussel). The record is from RNAcentral. Lineage: Eukaryota; Metazoa; Mollusca; Bivalvia; Mytilida; Mytilidae.
UGUUAAUCUUAUUUGACUGUGAAAUAGCCUAUUUAUUUACUUCUCAUUUUGCCAUGCAUUAAUUUAAUGUUCAUCUUAUAUGUGUGUUCAUCUUAUUUAACUGUAAAAUGGCCUAUUUAUUUACGUUCUCAUAGUGCCAUACAUUAAGUUAAUGUUCAUCUCAUAUGUCUGUUCGCCUUAUUUGACUGUAAAAUGGCCUAUUUAUUUACUUCUCAUUUUGCCAUGCAUUGAUGUAAAUAUACAUGUUUAUUUAUGUAAUAAUAAGCUUUUAUAACAUAUUUGGUUUUCUUUUCUGUUUUUGUACAUAAAUUGCUCAUUGUUGAAGGCUGUUUGGUGACCUAUAGUUGUGAAAGUCUGUAUCAUUUGGUCUCUUAUGGAGAAUUGAUUCAUUGGCAAUCAU